RNAcentral lists this unclassified non-coding RNA (289 nucleotides) under Pleosporales sp. RNAcentral describes it as "partial contains 5.8S ribosomal RNA, internal transcribed spacer 2, and large subunit ribosomal RNA". The stretch from base 1 to 71 matches the Rfam family "5.8S ribosomal RNA", at positions 84 to 154 of the family's 154-position model. The record is from RNAcentral. Lineage: Eukaryota; Fungi; Ascomycota; Dothideomycetes; Pleosporales.
GUGAGUCAUCGAAUCUUUGAACGCACAUUGCGCCCCUCGGUAUUCCGUGGGGCAUGCCUGUUCGAGCGUCAUUUAAACCCUCAAGCUCAGCUUGGUGUUGGGUGCUUGUCCCGCCUCCGCGCGGCGACUCACCUCAAAAUCAGUGGCAGCCCGCAUCAGCCGGCCGUGAGCGCAGCACAGUCGCGCCCUAGGUCCUGGCAGGUCGGCUCUCCAGAAGCAUUUUCUUCCAUUUUGACCUCGGAUCAGGUAGGGAUACCCGCUGAACUUAAGCAUAUCAAUAAGCGGAGGA